Long non-coding RNA from Neopsephotus bourkii (Bourke's parrot), 415 nucleotides. RefSeq lists it as uncharacterized. Lineage: Eukaryota; Metazoa; Chordata; Aves; Psittaciformes; Psittacidae. The record is from RefSeq and is a predicted model, not a curated record. The transcript has 2 exons.
UUCAUGGUUUCCCAAAGCUUAAAGAGUAGCAGAGCUUCAAAGGAUACCAUCAUUAAAUAUCUUUUCUUUAGGCUAUUCAUUAAGUAAUAGCCAGAAAGAGAAAAAAAGAAAAAUCAACUCAUCAGUACUGUAACAUAGACCUGCCUGUGAGGAAGAGCACUGUUCAGCAAACAGCCUUGAGCACUAUACCCCAUUCUUCAUUUCAGCAGCUGAGAAAACCCCGUGACUCUAACAAGUAUCACUGAGCCUCAGUGGGAAAGAGCCCUCCGCAGCGGACUCACUGGUGCUCAAACCCACGCUGCUUGCUCCAGCCCUUCUUGACAGCAGGAUACACAGCGCGCUGCCUUUGUGCAAAAUCAGACAACACUGCUGCCCCCGGUUGCCUCCAGGCAAAAUCCAGCAUCAUUCAUUCCCA